AUUUAUAUAGUUAAAUUUAUAAUGAAGAAUUGUGGUUUCUUUGUAGAGUGAUUUCUAUAAAUA
This 63-nucleotide transfer RNA is filed under the name Epanerchodus koreanus. RNAcentral describes it as "tRNA-His". The record is from RNAcentral. Lineage: Eukaryota; Metazoa; Arthropoda; Diplopoda; Polydesmida; Polydesmidae.